UACGGAGGGGACUAGCGUUGUUCGGAAUUACUGGGCGUAAAGCGCACGUAGGCGGAUUAGCAAGUCAGGGGUGAAAUCCCGGGGCUCAACCUCGGAACUGCCUCUGAUACUGCCAGUCUAGAGUCCGGAAGAGGUGGGUGGAAUUCCUAGUGUAGAGGUGAAAUUCGCAGAUAUUAGGAAGAACACCGGUGGCGAAGGCGGCCCACUGGUCCGGUACUGACGCUGAGGUGCGAAAGCGUGGGGAGCAAACAGG
Molecule: ribosomal RNA, 253 nt
Filed under: uncultured bacterium
Lineage: Bacteria
Description: partial 16S ribosomal RNA
Rfam family: Bacterial small subunit ribosomal RNA
Source: RNAcentral